RNAcentral lists this ribosomal RNA (484 nucleotides) under uncultured bacterium. RNAcentral describes it as "partial 16S ribosomal RNA". It matches the Rfam family "Bacterial small subunit ribosomal RNA", at positions 30 to 507 of the family's 1533-position model. The record is from RNAcentral.
AUUGGACGCUGGCGGCAGGCCUAACACAUGCCAGUCGAGCGGAUGAAGGGAGCUUGCUCCUGGAUUCAGCGGCGGACGGGUGAGUAAUGCCUAGGAAUCUGCCUGGUAGUGGGGGAUAACGUCCGGAAACGGGCGCUAAUACCGCAUACGUCCUGAGGGAGAAAGUGGGGGAUCUUCGGACCUCACGCUAUCAGAUGAGCCUAGGUCGGAUUAGCUAGUUGGUGGGGUAAAGGCCUACCAAGGCGACGAUCCGUAACUGGUCUGAGAGGAUGAUCAGUCACACUGGAACUGAGACACGGUCCAGACUCCUACGGGAGGCAGCAGUGGGGAAUAUUGGACAAUGGGCGAAAGCCUGAUCCAGCCAUGCCGCGUGUGCGAAGAAGGUCUUCGGAUUGUAAAGCACUUUAAGUUGGGAGGAAGGGCAGUAAGUUAAUACCUUGCUGUUUUGACGUUACCAACAGAAUAAGCACCGGCUAACUUCGUG